Molecule: ribosomal RNA, 227 nt
Filed under: Enterobacter ludwigii
Lineage: Bacteria; Pseudomonadati; Pseudomonadota; Gammaproteobacteria; Enterobacterales; Enterobacteriaceae
Description: partial 16S ribosomal RNA
Rfam family: Bacterial small subunit ribosomal RNA
Source: RNAcentral
AAAUUGAAGAGUUUGAUCAUGGCUCAGAUUGAACGCUGGCGGCAGGCCUAACACAUGCAAGUCGAACGGUAGCACAGAGAGCUUGCUCUCGGGUGACGAGUGGCGGACGGGUGAGUAAUGUCUGGGAAACUGCCUGAUGGAGGGGGAUAACUACUGGAAACGGUAGCUAAUACCGCAUAACGUCGCAAGACCAAAGAGGGGGACCUUCGGGCCUCUUGCCAUCAGAU